GUAGAUGAACGCUGGCGGCAGGCCUAACACAUGCAAGUCGAACGGUAACAGGAAGCAGCUUGCUGCUUCGCUGACGAGUGGCGGACGGGUGAGUAAUGUCUGGGAAACUGCCUGAUGGAGGGGGAUAACUACUGGAAACGGUAGCUAAUACCGCAUAACGUCGCAAGACCAAAGAGGGGGACCUUCGGGCCUCUUGCCAUCGGAUGUGCCCAGAUGGGAUUAGCUUGUUGGUGGGGUAACGGCUCACCAAGGCGACGAUCCCUAGCUGGUCUGAGAGGAUGACCAGCCACACUGGAACUGAGACACGGUCCAGACUCCUACGGGAGGCAGCAGUGGGGAAUAUUGCACAAUGGGCGCAAGCCUGAUGCAGCCAUGCCGCGUGUAUGAAGAAGGCCUUCGGGUUGUAAAGUACUUUCAGCGGGGAGGAAGGGAGUAAAGUUAAUACCUUUGCUCAUUGACGUUACCCGCAGAAGAAGCACCGGCUAACUCCGUGCCAGCAGCCGCGGUAAUACGGAGGGUGCAAGCGUUAAUCGGAAUUACUGGGCGUAAAGCGCACGCAGGCGGUUUGUUAAGUCAGAUGUGAAAUCCCCGGGCUCAACCUGGGAACUGCAUCUGAUACUGGCAAGCUUGAGUCUCGUAGAGGGGGGUAGAAUUCCAGGUGUAGCGGUGAAAUGCGUAGAGAUCUGGAGGAAUACCGGUGGCGAAGGCGGCCCCCUGGACGAAGACUGACGCUCAGGUGCGAAAGCGUGGG
This 751-nucleotide ribosomal RNA is filed under the name Enterobacteriaceae bacterium DHL-29. RNAcentral describes it as "bacterial SSU rRNA". It matches the Rfam family "Bacterial small subunit ribosomal RNA", at positions 24 to 765 of the family's 1533-position model. Lineage: Bacteria; Pseudomonadati; Pseudomonadota; Gammaproteobacteria; Enterobacterales; Enterobacteriaceae. The record is from RNAcentral.